This 2821-nucleotide unclassified non-coding RNA is filed under the name Hevea brasiliensis (rubber tree). The record is from RNAcentral. Lineage: Eukaryota; Viridiplantae; Streptophyta; Magnoliopsida; Malpighiales; Euphorbiaceae.
AAAAGGCCAAAAAGCUGCUUAUCUAACAUUGUUAUGGCCUUGCCUUCCAGAUUCUUCUUCUCUUCUUAAACUUUUCAGCGCGACCAACGUCUUCGAGGUUUUCAUUUCUUGUUUUUGCGCUUCAUCUAUGUGAGUUUUCUAUCUGCUCUGUACAUGUUGUUUAUAAUCGCUGCUAAUCCUGAAUUCCAAAUCAUGCUUUAAUGUUCCCGAAAUCAAUAAGACUACAAAUGUCUAGGAAUAUGGCUUAUGCGGAAAGCCCCCUACCAGAAAUUACAUUUAUCAUCUCAAUUGUUUUCUAGAGGAAUGAGAAAUUAUGUGCUUUGGCUUUUUAAAGAUUCUUUUCUUAGGUAUUCUUUAUAGAAUUGAUGCAGGCAAUGAUUGGCAGUGACAACCUUUAGCAAAACCCAAUUUAGAAUUUCAGUAGAUUAGGUUAAAGAAGUUAGAAGCCUGCUUAGACUGAAGAGAUGUGCUUGGUCUUUGUUAGGCUUUAUUCUGUAUGUAAUUAAUGGAUGGCAAUGAUUGGCAGCAAAAUCCAAUUUAGAAUGUCAGUAUAUUAAAUCAACAGAAUUUAGAAGCCUGCUUGGAGUGAAGGGAACAAUUAUCCUUUAGAUUUGUGGUCAUGGCCUUCUUGUGUAACUGAUGAGACCUUUGCUGAGAUGAGAAUGGAUGUAAUCUGAUAUGUUAGUGCAGCCUGUUCCGCCUAAGAAAGACUGGUAACAAGUUCUUUCUCAAAAUGUGCGAUUGAACCUUAACAUAGUUCUGAGAGGGACAAUCCUUGGGUGUUUUCACUUGGGUGUCCCAAAUCACCCAACCAUACUCUUGAAGUCUGGAUCUCAAUCAGACUCCCUAUUAGACCAUUGCUUUGGCUGUGCAUGGUGGUUGCUCAUCUAACUUGACUGGGGAUGUUUAAUGUAGUUUCUUGAUCGAUCCUACCUGUGACCUACUCCAAAAGGAAAUCCAAGCAUCAUCAUUUAUGCAUCUAUUGAGUUCCUCUGCUUGUUACAACUUGCUUUCUGCCACUUGGAGCUAUAAAAUUCUUAAACAUGCACCCUGAGAAUAAGUAUUAUACAUACUACUAUCUCCUAUCAUGUGUUCUAUCUAUUAAUGUUUGUUGUUGUUUACUCAUUCUCUAAUCCAUUAUUUGAUCUAAAUAUUAUUUUGAUUUUGUUAACAUGUUAUCUUUAGGGAAUCUGUAGAUCAGCCUAUCAUCCCAGGACUGCCAGAUGAUCUGGCUUUGCGAUGUCUUGCAAAAGUAUCCCAUGGGCACCAUGGGCUGCUUGAAACUGUCUCAAAGAGGUGGAGAUAUUUAAUUCGUAGCUCAGAAUAUGCACACUAUAAAGCUAAAGAAGGGUGGUGUGGAAAUUGGCUGUUUGCUCUUACAGAACAGUCUAACAACCAGUGGAUUGCCUAUGAUCCUGAUGCUGAUAGGUGGCAUCCCCUGCCAAAGUUUUCGGGGGAUUAUGCUGACUGGCAUCAUUCUGGGUUUUCUUGUGUUUGUGUUUAUAAUCGACUCCUAGUGAUUGGUGGGUCCUAUGCACCACAAGAUUCAUCACUUCCCCAUCAAAAGCCUUUGAUAACUGAUUAUGUCCUGCAGUUUGAUCCAUUUAAGAAAGAGUGGAAAAGCAUGGCAAGCAUGCGAACACCGCGUUCUCAUUUUGCAUGCAGUGUUAUCGGUGGUAAGGUUUAUGUUGCUGGGGGGCGCAACUUGUCUUGUACUAGAGGACUUGCCCUUGCUGAGGUUUAUGAUCCGCUAAUAGACAAGUAUGUGAUGGGGGUGAUAUGUUUCUUUUGUUCAUCAAAAGUUUGUGACGGUUAAUUUGAAACUUCCAAUUCCUUCUUGUAGAUUGUAGCUGUGUGCUUGAUGUUUUUAUUUAGUGCUAAAUGUGAUCUUAACUGUUUUUGGUUUGGCUUAAAGCUUAAUUACACCCCUGUAUUUAUUGGGAGAUUCAAUUUAGUCCAUUUUCAACUUUUGGUUUAAUUUAAUCCAGAAGUUUCAAUUUAGACUCAAUUUAGGCUUAAAUUAAGAAAUUAAGAAAUUAAGAAAUUUAGUCUUAAAAUUAAGAAAUUGAACUUCUUCAUUUUUUAUUUAAAUCAAGGAAUCAAGAAAUUUAGCUCAUAAAAUUUUAAUUUUUUGGUUAAAUUGAGCUUAAAUUGAAACUUCUGAGCUAAUUUGGACAAAAAGUUAAAAAUAGGCUAAAUUGAACUUUCUCAAUAAGUACAGGGGCUAAAUUGAACAUUUUGCCCAUUUUGGUUUAUUUUCUCAACGGGAGCUUUGGUUUUAUAUUUUAUUGUUUACACAAUUUAUGACAUUUAAUGAUUUAGUACAUUUCUAUCUUGAAAUCAAGAGUUUUUUCCCCCCAAUUUUUUACCUUUGCUGUGAGCUUAUUCAUAUCUUCUGGGCAUCAACUUUUCUUCUCACAUUUUUUUUUAUUUAUAUUAUUUUAAUUUCAUUUUUUUUUAUGUGUUGUAGCUAGAAUUGCAUUUGCACGUUUCAUUUGUUUGAAAUAAGUUCUCCACUAUUACAGUGAAAUUUAAUAUCACCAUAUUCUAUGAAUAAAAAUUCUUCAUAUCGACCGUAGCAUAAUAGGCUUCCCUAAAUUUGUCUCUCUUAUAUAAGUUUAUUCAUAUCUUUUCUUCAUUUUGCUAUAUUUGCUUUAUCUUUAAUUUUUCUAGGACUUUUUCUUAGCACUAGACGCUAACACUAGGUCAACAUGGAUUGCUCAUUGUCUCAGCUAACAGACACAUGUUUUUGUAAACAUCUUUCAUUGUUAAUAAGUAGUUAAUGUUUUUGUAAACAUCUUUCAUUGUUAAUAAGUAGUUA